AGUUCGUCCAAUGGUUGGGAGAGGAGCCCAUAUCCCAUUACUUAUUUUUAUUAGGGUUUCACUCUCCAGCCGUCAACCUUGCCCUCACCCCUCUUUAUCCUCUCUCUCUCUCUCUCAAUCUCUCUGUCUCAUUUCCUCACUCAAUCUCAUCUCGACGGUAUUUCUACUUCUCACUCUUCAGGAUUUAUCUUCACUGAAAAAAUUGGGCAUUUCUACUUCUCUCUUAUUUUGUGCUUAAUUCGGACGAUGAAGGACGCUAAUCUUAAGAACAACGAUUCCGGAGAAAGAGGUGGCUUCAUUCCCAAUAACAAAAUGAACAACAACAACAGUUAGAUUAAGAUGAAGAAAUAUAUGCAAAGAUUGGGAGGCACUGGUCUUUCUCUUGAAGCAUUUGCCGAUGCUAAAUCAAGAAAAAUUCCUAUAAUCCUGCUUUGUUAAGCUGGAUAUCGUGAUGGUUUAUCGAAUGGAAAAAUGUUGUUGCACAAGAGGGUUUUAAUCAGGGUUUCAAGGAUUCCGUGAUGAUGGGUAACAAGUGGGGCAUUGUUAGGGGUGUUACCAGCUACACUAGCUAGCAGUGUAUGAAAACAAGCCGCUUUUUUUCAAAGAGCUCAAGAAAAUUUGGCAGACCUCAACAGCUCCUUCAAAAGCAGGGGUUCUGUUUUCUUAAUUACACACUUUGCUGAUAGAUGAUGAGCCUUACAAAGGCCUUCUGAAUCCGGUCAGGGGGACAAGGAAGGAGAUACUCCAUAACUAGGAAAUACCAAAGCUUCUUUUAAGGAGAUAGCACUAAUGCUAGGUCAAGAAUUUUUUUAAAUUUUCUAGGAGAUAAUUACGAAGUACAUUACGGUAAAGUGAUUUGGAGAUAGUGAAACUUUGGAUUUUUUCAGGCGAUAUGAAAAUUUGGGCAUUGAUCGAUGCUAAAGUGAUUUGGUUGCUGCUGGCCUGCUGCUCGUAAUUAGUUGCUGCUGCGCUUAGCUGUUGUUCUUAGCUGCCGUUUUUCUACUGCUCUUUAGUUGCUGGGUUCUUGGUUGCUACUGAUGCUUUUGGGUGCUGCUGCAGUGUUGCUGGUGGUGUUUCCUGUUUAUUAUUAUUAUUUUUAAUUAUCAACAUUUUUAAUCAUACAUUGUGAUGGGUUUAUGAGCAGUUCUAGAGAUAUAAUAUUGUAUUUAGUGUAUGUGUUAUAUUUGAAUUUAUGUUUUUGGAAUUAAAACCAAUAUAUAUCAAGUGUAAAUAUAAAUGUAUCAUAUUAUUUGAUAUAA
Long non-coding RNA from Chenopodium quinoa (quinoa), 1259 nucleotides. RefSeq lists it as uncharacterized. The record is from RefSeq and is a predicted model, not a curated record. Lineage: Eukaryota; Viridiplantae; Streptophyta; Magnoliopsida; Caryophyllales; Amaranthaceae. The transcript has 5 exons.